RNAcentral lists this long non-coding RNA (308 nucleotides) under Ananas comosus (pineapple). RNAcentral's name for it is "long non-coding RNA (ACOM_LNC000527)". Lineage: Eukaryota; Viridiplantae; Streptophyta; Magnoliopsida; Poales; Bromeliaceae. The record is from RNAcentral.
UUGUGUAAAGCGCAAGGGGCACAUUAAUGCCCGCCAGGACCGUACGUUACAAUAUACGUAUCUUAUCGAAUACAAAAGAGGCGGAUGUAGAUGAGAGGCAUUUUAGUCAGACGGCUAAAAAUCCGGUCCGAAUCUACAAAAUCGAAAAAGGCGGCCCACUUUUUUAAAAGCGCAAAACUCGUGGAUUUUUCAUGCAAAUUGGCCAAUUUAAAUAGGUUUUAGUAAAAAUUAAAAUAAAAUUGAUGUGACAAGUAAAAUAUUAAUCGUCUUAAAAUAAAAUAGGUAUAAAAUGCAUACUCCUCUUUGUA